Molecule: non-coding RNA, 101 nt
Filed under: Macrococcoides caseolyticum
Lineage: Bacteria; Bacillati; Bacillota; Bacilli; Caryophanales; Staphylococcaceae
Also listed under: 1 other name
Description: Macrococcus caseolyticus SAM-I sequence
Rfam family: SAM riboswitch aptamer (S box leader)
About the family: The SAM riboswitch is found upstream of a number of genes which code for proteins involved in methionine or cysteine biosynthesis in Gram-positive bacteria. The SAM riboswitch acts at the level of transcription termination control.
Source: RNAcentral
UUCUUAUCCAGAGAAGUGGAGGGAACUGGCCCUAUGAUACUUCAGCAACAGACUUUAAGUACUGUGCUAAAUCCAGCAAGCAUAUGCUUGGUAGAUAAGUG